GACGAACGCUGGCGGCGUGCUUAACACAUGCAAGUCGAACGGAAAGGCCCUGCUUUUGUGGGGUGCUCGAGUGGCGAACGGGUGAGUAACACGUGAGUAACCUGCCCUUGACUUUGGGUUAACUUCAGGAAACUGGGGCUAAUACCGGAUAGGAGCUCCUGCGGCAUGGUGGGGGUUGGAAGGUUUCGGCGGUUGGGGAUGGACUCGCGGCUUAUCAGCUUGUUGGUGGGGUAGUGGCUUACCAAGGCUUUGACGGGUAGCCGGCCUGAGAGGGUGACCGGCCACAUUGGGACUGAGAUACGGCCCAGACUCCUACGGGAGGCAGCAGUGGGGAAUAUUGCACAAUGGGCGGAAGCCUGAUGCAGCAACGCCGCGUGCGGGAUGACGGCCUUCGGGUUGUAAACCGCUUUCGCCUGUGACGAAGCGUGAGUGACGGUAAUGGGUAAAGAAGCACCGGCUAACUACGUG
Molecule: ribosomal RNA, 468 nt
Filed under: uncultured bacterium
Lineage: Bacteria
Description: partial 16S ribosomal RNA
Rfam family: Bacterial small subunit ribosomal RNA
Source: RNAcentral